Molecule: ribosomal RNA, 397 nt
Filed under: uncultured bacterium
Lineage: Bacteria
Description: partial 16S ribosomal RNA
Rfam family: Bacterial small subunit ribosomal RNA
Source: RNAcentral
AUACGUAGGUGGCAAGCGUUGUCCGGAAUUAUUGGGCGUAAAGCGCGCGCAGGUGGUUCCUUAAGUCUGAUGUGAAAGCCCCCGGCUCCACCGGGGAGGGUCAUUGGAAACUGGGGAACUUGAGUGCAGAAGAGGAUGGUGGAAUUCCAAGUGUAGCGGUGAAAUGCGUAGAGAUUUGGAGGAACACCAGUGGCGAAGGCGACUGUCUGGUCUGUAACUGACACUGAGGCGCGAAAGCGGGGGGAGCAAACAGGAUUAGAUACCCUGGUAGUCCACGCCGUAAACGAUGAGUGCUAAGUGUUGGGGGGUUUCCGCCCCUCAGUGCUGCAGCUAACGCAUUAAGCACUCCGCCUGGGGAGUACGGUCGCAAGACUGAAACUCAAGGGAAUUGACGGGG